Molecule: ribosomal RNA, 253 nt
Filed under: uncultured prokaryote
Description: partial 16S ribosomal RNA
Rfam family: Bacterial small subunit ribosomal RNA
Source: RNAcentral
UACGGGGGGGGUAAGCGUUGUUCGGAAUUACUGGGCGUAAAGGGCUCGUAGGCGGCCAACUAAGUCAGACGUGAAAUCCCUCAGCUUAACUGGGGAACUGCGUCUGAUACUGGCGAGCUUGAGUGCAGGAGAGGAACGCGGAAUUCCAGGUGUAGCGGUGAAAUGCUUAGAUAUGACAUAGAACACCCAUUGCGAAGGCAGCUCGCUACACGGUUAUUGACGCUGAGGCACGAAAGCGUGGGGAUCAAACAGG